This 497-nucleotide ribosomal RNA is filed under the name uncultured bacterium. RNAcentral's name for it is "partial 16S ribosomal RNA". It matches the Rfam family "Bacterial small subunit ribosomal RNA", at positions 28 to 507 of the family's 1533-position model. The record is from RNAcentral.
GAUGAACGCUGGCGGCGUGCCUAAUACAUGCAAGUCGAGCGAACAGACGAGGAGCUUGCUCCUCUGACGUUAGCGGCGGACGGGUGAGUAACACGUGGAUAACCUACCUAUAAGACUGGGAUAACUUCGGGAAACCGGAGCUAAUACCGGAUAAUAUAUUGAACCGCAUGGUUCAAUAGUGAAAGACGGUUUUGCUGUCACUUAUAGAUGGAUCCGCGCCGCAUUAGCUAGUUGGUAAGGUAACGGCUUACCAAGGCAACGAUGCGUAGCCGACCUGAGAGGGUGAUCCGCCACACUGGAACUGAGACACGGUCCAGACUCCUACGGGAGGCAGCAGUAGGGAAUCUUCCGCAAUGGGCGAAAGCCUGACGGAGCCCCGCCGCGUGAGUGAUGAAGGUCUUCGGAUCGUAAAACUCUGUUAUUAGGGAAGAACAAAUGUGUAAGUAACUAUGCACGUCUUGACGGUACCUAAUCAGAAAGCCACGGCUAACUACGUG